RNAcentral lists this ribosomal RNA (724 nucleotides) under uncultured bacterium. RNAcentral's name for it is "bacterial SSU rRNA". It matches the Rfam family "Bacterial small subunit ribosomal RNA", at positions 88 to 848 of the family's 1533-position model. The record is from RNAcentral.
GGAGUGAGCGGCGGACGGGUUAGUAACGCGUGGGAACGUACCCAGAUCUAAGGAAUAGCCACUGGAAACGGUGAGUAAUACCUUAUACGCCCUUCGGGGGAAAGAUUUAUCGGAUUUGGAUCGGCCCGCGUUAGAUUAGAUAGUUGGUGGGGUAACGGCCUACCAAGUCUACGAUCUAUAGCUGGUUUUAGAGGAUGAUCAGCAACACUGGGACUGAGACACGGCCCAGACUCCUACGGGAGGCAGCAGUGGGGAAUCUUGGACAAUGGGCGCAAGCCUGAUCCAGCCAUGCCGCGUGAGUGAUGAAGGCCUUAGGGUCGUAAAGCUCUUUCGCCAGGGAUGAUAAUGACAGUACCUGGUAAAGAAACCCCGGCUAACUCCGUGCCAGCAGCCGCGGUAAUACGGAGGGGGUUAGCGUUGUUCGGAAUUACUGGGCGUAAAGCGCGCGUAGGCGGGUUGUUAAGUUAGAGGUGAAAUCCCGGGGCUCAACCCCGGAACUGCCUUUAAUACUGGCAACCUAGAGUUCGAGAGAGGUGAGUGGAAUUCCGAGUGUAGAGGUGAAAUUCGUAGAUAUUCGGAGGAACACCAGUGGCGAAGGCGGCUCACUGGCUCGAUACUGACGCUGAGGUGCGAAAGUGUGGGGAGCAAACAGGAUUAGAUACCCUGGUAGUCCACACCGUAAACGAUGAAUGCCAGUCGUCGGGUAGCAUGCUAUUCGGUGACA